Long non-coding RNA from Pezoporus flaviventris, 1492 nucleotides. RefSeq lists it as uncharacterized. Lineage: Eukaryota; Metazoa; Chordata; Aves; Psittaciformes; Psittacidae. The transcript has 3 exons. The record is from RefSeq and is a predicted model, not a curated record.
AUGAUUGCAAAGACUGGAAACACAUCUGUAGCCACAUAUAUGCACAGCUACAUGCAGCCCUAAUAGGGUGACUAUAAAUCCUUCAAACAUUUGCCUUUUGCGGGGCUGAAAUGAAGAUCUAUUGUGCUGAAUGCCUGGAGCUGGAAGUGUGUUUUUGUGCUGCAUAUUAAUCACCAGGGAGGUGUAAAGACCUGAAUGCCAAUAGGCACAUGUGUUGUUUGGUGUACACUUGAUGUACUGGGAAUACGGAUCAUUCCGCGUUCGUAUCUGGGUAUUUCUGUGCCUUCAGCUGAUCGAAUAAACAAGAGCCUGUGGUACAAUUCAGAGAAGAGGAAUAUUCCCUCUCUCAAUCCAGAUUGGCAGUGCUAAGAAAACGCUGGAGAAUGCAGAGCCCACAGCUCGCCCGUAUUUACAGCUGAUGAGAGCAGAUAUCACUAAGAUGACAUCCCUGUCACAAACAAUUCCUCUGGUCCUGCAUAAAUCAUUGGUCAGAGGAGGGACUUUGACUAAUUACUCUCAGGGUGCUGGCAUGCUUUCAGCUCAGCCAGAUACAUGAGCCAAGCAGGAUUUAUCAGGCGUUCUGUAGGUACAGGCAGUUCAAUCACAGGAGUUCAGUUGCGAGACAAGGACAUGCAAUAAAAAGAAAAUAAACAAACAGUGGUGUAUGAGUGGAGCUGAAGAAAGAAUAGACAUGAACUCAACCCCAUUAUUUGCUUUCCUUUGUGCUUUUUCCAUCUGGAUACAGAGGAAUAUGUGCCAACAAAGCUGAUGGGAAAGCAGACAAGGGGGUUUUCUAUGAGCCAGUUUUCCAGUACUCCUCAGAAAGUUUCAGGUUUGUGGUGGAGACACAUUGGUGCUUUUGGAGGUAGCUGAGCCAAGGAAAGAGCAUUUGGUUGGGUGCUGAGGAUGCUGAUGUGUGGGAAGCUACAGCCAGAACACAAGUAUCCAGAAAGACAUUGGUUUCCACAUAGACUUGAAUGUCUUUUAGCAGAAGGUGUUGUGCAGCUGCACUGGUUAAUCCAUGUUAAUUAAACUGUUAUCACCUUACUCACAUUUCCUUUUGGAAAGGUUUGGGUUUGGAUCUUUACAUUUUGGUUUUGUUUUUUAAUAGUAAAAUGCAGCUUCUGCAGACAUACCCAUGUGAAAAUGUUGACCUUUUUUGUAAUAGGGGAAGGGGAACUGCAACAGUUUGAUUUGCUGUUUUGAAACCAGCGUAUUUCAUUUGGCUCAAACUGACUAAUGUUUCUUUAAUCUUCUAUCUAUUACACUUCUGGAUCUGGUUCAACGUUAAGCUGUAUAUUUCCUCUGAAGGUGUCCCAUGGAAUUGUGGCUGAGACAUCUCUACCCCACAGCACUGACCUUGCUGGCUAAAGCAGCUUCCCAAUGCAGGGUGGUCUCUCCUUGGAGGAAGGUGGGUGAUGCACAUUCCUGGUGCCUCAUGCCUGCAGGUGUAUCCUAUGCUCUUUGCAGCUUGCCAAAGCGUUGCCCCAUC